UGAGCAUAAGCACUAUUGUGCAGCCUAGCUGUUAAUUAGGAAGGAGGUUUACCUAUGCCCAA
RNAcentral lists this transfer RNA (62 nucleotides) under Scutopus robustus. RNAcentral describes it as "tRNA-Asn". Lineage: Eukaryota; Metazoa; Mollusca; Caudofoveata; Limifossorida; Scutopodidae. The record is from RNAcentral.